This 301-nucleotide ribosomal RNA is filed under the name uncultured bacterium. Its description in RNAcentral is "partial 16S ribosomal RNA". It matches the Rfam family "Archaeal small subunit ribosomal RNA", at positions 459 to 760 of the family's 1478-position model. The record is from RNAcentral.
CAGUCGCCGCGGGAAUACCAGCACCUCGAGUGGUCAGGAGGUUUAUUGGGCCUAAAGCAUCCGUAGCCGGUUGCAUAAGUUUUCGGUUAAAUCUAUGCGCUUAACGUAUAGGCCGCCGAAAAUACUGUGCAGCUAGGGAGUGGGAGAGGUACACGGUACUCGAUAGGAAGGGGUAAAAUCCUUUGAUCUAUUGAUGACCACCUGUGGCGAAGGCGGUGUACCAGAACACGUUCGACGGUGAGGGAUGAAAGCUGGGGGAGCAAACCGGAUUAGAUACCCGAGUAGUCCCUGUCUCUUAUAC